This 323-nucleotide ribosomal RNA is filed under the name Schistosoma mekongi. Its description in RNAcentral is "partial 12S ribosomal RNA". RNAcentral also lists the same sequence under 1 other name. Lineage: Eukaryota; Metazoa; Platyhelminthes; Trematoda; Strigeidida; Schistosomatidae. The record is from RNAcentral.
GUUUGGCAGCAAACUAAAUUCUUCCGGGGGAAGGUGCUUAUUAAAGAGAUGAUCCGCUUACUAUUUUACUAUACCUAAUGUUAGUGUAUAUCCGUUUGUAUAUUCACGCUUAGAGGUAAUAAGUGGGUAAAUAUUAAGUAAUUUAAGGCAGGUCUAUAUGCUGCUUAUGGUAUAGGUUAUUGUGCGUUACAAUUAAAAGUUUAAAUACUUAAUAGUAUUUUUAUUUUGGGACUCGGAAGUAGGAGUGUAAUAGUAUGUCACUUCGAAGGUUGAAAUAGUUUGGGUACACAUCGCCCGACAAUCUCGAUGUGUAAUUGAGUUAA